AUCACAGAAGAUGCAGAUAAAAAGCUGGCGAUAGUAAAGCCAUGCUGUGAGUUUUAAGGACAUUAAAGUCGUUAAAGUCUCUAAAAAUGACUAUAGCA
This 98-nucleotide small nucleolar RNA is filed under the name Carlito syrichta (Philippine tarsier). Its description in RNAcentral is "Small nucleolar RNA SNORA33 (ENSTSYG00000021618.2)". The record is from RNAcentral. Lineage: Eukaryota; Metazoa; Chordata; Mammalia; Primates; Tarsiidae.